CUGGGUGGUAUGAUUCGAGCACUGCCCCCGGAAGAGAAGGCUGACUGGCCUCGGCGCUUACAGACCUUAACGUUCAUGUACAACUGUACGGAACAUGAGACGACAGGUUACUCCCCAUUCUACCUCAUGUUUGGUCGGAUCCCCCGCCUACCUGUGGAUGUCCUCUUUUGUGCUGUUCUUCAUGACUCUGCUGUGGUGAGCUAUGAGAAGUAUGUGGCCAGUCUCGCCAACGAUCUGAAGGAAGCAAUGGUCAUUGCUCAGGUUCAUGCUACAAAGGAGCAGAAUCGACAUGCCCAGCUGUACAACAGGAGAGUAAAGGGAUCCAAUUUAAACAUCGGUGACAGGGUGCUCCUGGCCAAUAGGAAGGAGAGGGGUAAAAAGAAGCUUGCUGACAGGUGGGACUCGACAGUCUACACUGUGGUAGAUGUGAAUACAGAGACACACACAUACAGGAUCCGCGACACAAUCACUGGACGGGAGAAGGUGGUCCACAGGAACUUGCUGAUGCUGGUUAAUUUUCUUCCUGUGGGGGAUACAUGUGACAUAUCAGAUCUGGCCUCAUCCUUGCUCGGUACGGGGUCCUCCGUUUCAGGACAUGAUGGUGGCGAGGCAGAAGAGACCUCGUCUGGGAGAGGGAGGGAGUCUCUCAGUGUGGCUAGUGAAAGCUUUGACACUGAAGGUGACAGUGAGUCCCCUGUGACUGUGACGGACGGACAGGGUCCCUUGACCGAUGCGGUGCCCGUGGAUUCGGAGAGCAGAACCAUUGAAUGGAUUACUCAGUUGUCUGGGCCAAGCCUGGCUGAGGCGUGCAUUGUUGACAUGAGUGUUGCUUCUGAUCCCCAGAACGCAACUAUCUCACUUGAGGGCAGCACCACUGAUCAAUCUGUGACUUGUUAUUCUUGCCCUUCGACUGCUGCGGACGUCUCGACAGAUCUUAGGCAGUCAGACUUUGCACUCGAUACCAUGACACAGACAGAUAACACGUCUGAUUCUUUGCAUACUGUGGUCCAGGUCAGGUCAAGAUUUGGUCGCUUAAUCAAUCCUGUGAAUAGGCUUAUACAGACUAUGUCCAGGCAGGAUGUUGUCCAGGAAUAGCUUGAGGUUGUUACCUUUUAAUACUAUGAGUGGGUGGCUUAUGCCUCUUUAUGGCUGAAAAACGUGUGUUGGUAUAAUGUUUCACUGUCCUUAUUGUUUUUUUUGUCGUGAGCCUGUACUGCAUUGCACUUUGUGUUUGGGUCUUGUGGGGUGUACAAGGCACCCUGUUGCCAGUUGUUGGGUUGAGAGGCCUGCGCUGCUCUCGUACCACUUCAUCCUUAUGGGAUACAUUUUUUUUGUUGGUUUUCUGGAUGUUGGCCCUUUGUGAGUUGUCAAUUUGUAAUGUUUUCUAUGGCGUGCAAUCGGUGAUGAGCGCUCAUCUAUGAUAAAAUUCAGUGGGGGUGAAUGUAACGGAGUUAGAAAUACACUGUCAUUUUCAAAGUAUUGUAUUUUAUUUUUUUGGUUAUUAUUCAACAAUCUUGUUGAACGUGUGUGUGUGAAUUUUAUUUUGAUGAGUCAAAUUUGCGGAAAUUGCGAUUCAUCUCUACUGCGCCUCCUAGGCUUCCGUAGUCCCGUUUUUCCUUCACAGUAGUGUUACACUGUUGAAGACCCUGUGUGUAGGGAGCUGAUGUGCAGAGACCAGAAGGCAAUGUCUGUGUUUUAUUGUCUUCUGCAGGAGCAAAUAAAUGCUGAAAAGAUCAGUACCUGAGUCGACUACUUCCAUGCCCUAAACACAUCUGUUACAU
Molecule: long non-coding RNA, 1781 nt
Organism: Gasterosteus aculeatus aculeatus (three-spined stickleback)
Lineage: Eukaryota; Metazoa; Chordata; Actinopteri; Perciformes; Gasterosteidae
Source: Ensembl